ACGGAAGGCAGCAGUGGGGGAUAUUGCACAAUGGAGGAAACUCUGAUGCAGCAACGCCGCGUGAGGGAAGAAGGUCUUCGGAUUGUAAACCUAAGUUGUCAGGGACGAAAGAAAUGACGGUACCUGAAGAGAAAGCUCCGGCUAACUACGUGCCAGCAGCCGCGGUAAUACGUAGGGAGCGAGCGUUGUCCGGAUUUACUGGGUGUAAAGGGUGCGUAGGCGGGCUUGCAAGUCAGGCGUGAAAUCCCGUGGCUCAACUGCGGGGCUGCGCUUGAAACUGUAGGUCUUGAGUGAGGUAGAGGCAAGCGGAAUUCCUAGUGUAGCGGUGAAAUGCGUAGAUAUUAGGAGGAACACCAGUGGCGAAGGCGGCUUGCUGGACGACAACUGACGCUGAGGCGCGAAAGCGUGGGGAGCAAACAGGAUUAGAUACCCUGGUA
This 437-nucleotide ribosomal RNA is filed under the name uncultured Anaerotruncus sp. RNAcentral's name for it is "partial 16S ribosomal RNA". It matches the Rfam family "Bacterial small subunit ribosomal RNA", at positions 341 to 792 of the family's 1533-position model. The record is from RNAcentral. Lineage: Bacteria; Bacillati; Bacillota; Clostridia; Eubacteriales; Oscillospiraceae.